Molecule: unclassified non-coding RNA, 352 nt
Organism: Erinaceus europaeus (western European hedgehog)
Lineage: Eukaryota; Metazoa; Chordata; Mammalia; Eulipotyphla; Erinaceidae
Gene: 7SK
Rfam family: 7SK RNA
About the family: 7SK was discovered as an abundant small nuclear RNA in the mid-70s but a possible function has only recently been suggested. Two independent studies have found that 7SK RNA binds the CDK9/cyclin T complex (known as elongation factor P-TEFb). P-TEFb activates transcription by phosphorylating the C-terminal domain of RNA polymerase II.
Source: Ensembl
AGAUGUGAGGGUGAUCUGGUUGCAACAUCCAUCACCCCCUUGAUCACCAGGGUUGAUUCAGCUGAUCUGGCUGGCUAGGUGGGUGUCCCCUUCCCCCCUCACCACUCCAUGUGUGUCCCUCCUGAAGCUGCGUGUCCCAUCAAAGAGGAUGGAAGGCCUUCCCCAAAUAGAGAUGACCCAUCUUCGGUCGAGGAUAUACGAGUAGCUGUGCUCCUCUGCUAGAACCUCCAAACAAGCUCUCAAGAAGUCUGGCCCAAGGUCUUUAUUUUUUAUCCCGGAAUCCAAGCUCUUAAACCUCCAAAUGAAUGCUGACUCUGCAUAGUCAUUGGAAUGCUUUCAUUUGCAAGUAACA